Long non-coding RNA from Drosophila simulans, 1097 nucleotides. RefSeq lists it as uncharacterized. The record is from RefSeq and is a predicted model, not a curated record. The transcript is spliced from 2 exons. Lineage: Eukaryota; Metazoa; Arthropoda; Insecta; Diptera; Drosophilidae.
UGUUUGAACUCCAGCUGGUUCCGAAUGUUUCUGGCCAAUCGUAGUGUUAUCACUCGACAAUAAGCGAGAUCGCUUGCUUAAAUGUAUCUCAGCUCUGUGGCAUCCACGGUUUACGCACUUAUGUAUGUAGCUUUCUUGUUCCUAGAACUAGACUUGGCUAGACUUAGUUAGUUCGGAUGGUUUGGCACGCCGCGCGAUUAGGGACUUAUUUGUUCUCCGUGUCCUAGCCAAUCUACACUAAACAUCGAUUCGAAUCCAACUGAAUCCACACCGAACUGAACUGAACUGUGAACUGAAGAAGCACUGAAAACGAAACUCUCGGCGCAGCGCAACGAAACCGAAGCGAUGAGAUACGAAUGCGAGUUGGGUUUGGAUUGGAAGUGGAAGUGGAAUCGAAAUGGACGGCUGGAGUGGAACGAUUCCGAACGGUUUCGAGAGCGGAAAAUCUGAAUAUUAUACGUAAAUAUCAGAUAUAAUAUGUAUGCCAGUACAUACAUCCUCACAAAACAUAUGUAUGCAGGCACUAUGCUGCCAUAUACGAGAUCUCGAAUAAUAUGCAUAAAUGGCAUGCAGUUAACGUAGAACACUUGAAUAUUAUGCGAGAAUAUAGAGAUAACUAUACAUAUUUACAGAUACAAAUACGAUGUAUGUACAUAUAGUAUUUAUCUACAGAAUGACGCAGCGGAACAUGCACUUGCAUUUUCAUACAGUGUCAGGUAUAAAUAUCGGUUAAAGACCAUGUACAUGCAGUGUACAUACGAGUAUGCAUGAUUUAAUUGUACUCGGACACACGGAAGUAAUCGAGUUGAUCGCUGCGACCGCAAUAUUUCAUCUUAAGUUUUAAGGCUGCGAUAUAUUUAUUCACAUUUUAAUCUUAGGUUAUUUCAUUUAAAAUAAACAAAACAUAUUUCUACUCAUUGGAGUAGUACACCUAGAUCCCUGUCUUCGUUGAUGACUCUGCAAAAACCAGAAUCAUGAACGAUGACUCAUCGAUCAUAUGAUCAAUUUUUAAAUUGGCUUCUUAGAAGUUUAUGAUUCAUCAAUUCGUACAUCUGUGUUACAUCAAGCUUAAAUAAAAUUAUACAUUAACCACCGUU